This 1432-nucleotide ribosomal RNA is filed under the name uncultured bacterium. Its description in RNAcentral is "partial 16S ribosomal RNA". It matches the Rfam family "Bacterial small subunit ribosomal RNA". The record is from RNAcentral.
AGAGUUUGAUCAUGGCUCAGGACGAACGCUGGCGGUGCGCCUUAUGCAUGCAAGUCGAGCGAAGCUUUUCAGUAGUUUACUACAGAAAAUGACUGAGCGGCGAACGGGUGAGUAACGCGUGAGCAACCUACCUUAGUUACUGGGAUAGCCCGAGGAAACUCGGAUUAAUACCGGAUAUUCUUAUUUAAUCACAUGAUUUUUUAAGGAAAGGUCAGCCGAACUAAGAUGGGCUCGCGUUCUAUCAGCUAGUUGGUAGGGUAAUGGCCUACCAAGGCUACGACGGAUAGCUGGUCUGAGAGGACGAUCAGCCACACUGGGACUGAGACACGGCCCAGACUCCUACGGGAGGCUGCAGCAGGGAAUAUUGCGCAAUGAGCGAAAGCUUGACGCAGCGACACCGCGUGUGGGAUGACGGAUCUAGGUUUGUAAACCACUUUCAGGAGGGAAGAAAAUGACGGUACCUCCACAAGAAGCCCCGGCCAACUACGUGCCAGCAGCCGCGGUAAUACGUAGGGGGCGAGCGUUGUCCGGAUUUAUUGGGCGUAAAGAGCUCGUAGGCGGUUCAACAAGUCGGUCGUGAAAGUUCAGGGCUCAACUCUGAAAUGUCGAUCGAUACUGUUGUGACUAGGAUACGGUAGAGGUGAGUGGAAUUCCGAGUGUAGCGGUGAAAUGCGUAGAUAUUCGGAGGAACACCAAUUGCGAAGGCAGCUCACUGGGCCGCUAUCGACGCUGAGGAGCGAAAGCUAGGGGAGCAAACAGGAUUAGAUACCCUGGUAGUCCUAGCUGUAAACGAUGGAUACUAGACGUAGGAACUGGAUUGACGGUUUCUGUGUCGUAGCUAACGCGUUAAGUAUCCCGCCUGGGGAGUACGGUCGCAAGACUAAAACUCAAAGGAAUUGACGGGACCCCGCACAAGCGGCGGAGCAUGCGGCUUAAUUCGAUGAUACCCGUAGAACCUUACCAACGCUUGACAUGUUCGUCGCGAGACUAAGAGAUUAGUUUCUUCAGUUCGGCUGGACGAAACACAGGUGCUGCAUGGCUGUCGUCAGCUCGUGUCGUGAGAUGUUGGGUUAAGUCCCGCAACGAGCGCAACCCUCACUUUUAGUUGCCAUCAUUUAGUUGGGCACUCUGAAAGAACUGCCAGUGAUAAGCUGGAGGAAGGUGGGGAUGACGUCAAGUCCUCAUGGCCCUUACGUGUUGGGCUACACACGUGCUACAAUGGCAUUUACAAUAGGAAGCAAGAUGGCGACGUCAAGCAAAUCCUAAAAAGAUGCCUCAGUUCGGAUUGUACUCUGCAACUCGAGUACAUGAAGCUGGAAUUACUAGUAAUCGCGGAUCAGCGCGCCGCGGUGAAUACGUUCCCGGGUCUUGUACACACCGCCCGUCACACCAUGGGAGUUGGUUCUACCUUAAGGCAAGGUUUCAAACCCUU